RNAcentral lists this long non-coding RNA (255 nucleotides) under Lathyrus oleraceus (garden pea). Its description in RNAcentral is "Pisum sativum (pea) long non-coding RNA (PSAT_LNC033786)". Lineage: Eukaryota; Viridiplantae; Streptophyta; Magnoliopsida; Fabales; Fabaceae. The record is from RNAcentral.
UUGCAUUCGUUUGUAUAUAUUUGCAUUUACUGUUUGCAUUUAUUAUUUGCAUUAAUGUUUGCAUUCAUUCAUUGUUUACCUGGCUGGCUGGUUGUCUGUUUCUCUCUGUUGGGGUGGGAGUUACUCGAGGUAAAAGGCCCAAUACCCAGGCCAUGAGUGAAACCUAGGAUACUUAGGAAUAGAGUGAUUCAUGGGAAGCGGGUGGUAUUGCGCCACUUAGUGGAACAUUGAAAUCACGAGCAGUUCAGACCCUGG